Molecule: ribosomal RNA, 990 nt
Filed under: Streptomyces sp.
Lineage: Bacteria; Bacillati; Actinomycetota; Actinomycetes; Kitasatosporales; Streptomycetaceae
Description: partial 16S ribosomal RNA
Rfam family: Bacterial small subunit ribosomal RNA
Source: RNAcentral
CCUCUUUCAGCAGGGAAGAAGCGAAAGUGACGUACUGCAGAGAAGNCCGGCAAAUNCGGCCCGCAGNCGNNGUAAUNGUAGGNGCNNGNUUGUNGGAAUUAUNGNNGUAAGANNUCGUGGCUGCUGUCACGUCGGAUGUAAAGCCNNGGCNAAUUGCGGUCUGCNUNGAUNNNGCUAGCUAGAGUUNGUAGNGAGAUCNGAAUUCNNGGUGUAGCGNNNAAUGCGCAGAUAUCNGAGGAACACCNGNGGCGAAGGCGGAUCUCUGGGCCANNACUGACGCUGAGGAGCGAAAGCGUGGGGAGCGAACAGGAUUAGAUACCCUGGUAGUCCACGCCGUAAACGUUNNGAACUAGGUGUUUGAGACAUUCCACGUCGUCGGUGCCGCAGCUAACGCAUUAAGUUCCCCGCCUGGGGAGUACGGCCGCAAGGCUAAAACUCAAAGGAAUUGACGGGGGCCCGCACAAGCAGCGGAGCAUGUGGCUUAAUUCGACGCAACGCGAAGAACCUUACCAAGGCUUGACAUAUACCGGAAACGGCUAGAGAUAGUCGCCCCCUUGUGGUCGGUAUACCUGGGGUGCAUGGCGGUCGUCAGCUCGUGUCGNGAGAUNUUGGGUUAAGUCCCGCAACGAGCGCAACCCNUNUUCUGUGUUNCCANCAUGCCCUUNGGGGUGAUGGGGACUCACAGGAGACUGCCGGGGUCAACUCGGAGGAAGGUGGGGANGACGUCAAGUCAUCAUNCCCCUUAUGUCUUGGGCUGCACACGUGCUACAAUGGCCGGUACAAAGAGCUGCGAUGCCGCGAGGCGGAGCGAAUCUCAAAAAGCCGGUCUCAGUUCGGAUUGGGGUCUGCAACUCGACUCGACCCCAUGAAGUCGGAGUUGCUAGUAAUCGCAGAUCAGCAUUGCUGCGGUGAAUACGUUCCCGGGCCUUGUACACACCGCCCGUCACGUCACGAAAGUCGGUAACACCCGAAGACCGGUGGCCCAACCCC